ACAUAUGAAGGAUCAAACAAAAUGGCAUUAGACCUCUCAAGAGAACAGACAGUACCUUCAAAACUCCUAAGAAAAAUCAUUUCCAACCCAGAAUAUUCUAUAUUCAGCCAAACAAUCAGAUAUGAGGGUAGAAUAAAUUUUCAGGUCUCACAUUCUUUUUUUCCCCAGAAAUUCUUUUCUCAAGUAGCUACUAAAGAUGUACUUCACAAAUAUAAGUGAAAAGAGGAAGAAAAAGAAAGACAGGAACCAGAGAAUCCAAUAAAGGAGGGAGAGGUGAAGCAAACUGCUAGGAUAAUGGGGGAAAGAAAGUCCCCAGAGAACAGCUAUCAGCCAACUUAAGAAAAGUAUGCUGAUUGAAGGAAGAGGGCAGAGGGCCCUAGGAGGGAUGUCUCCAAGAAAUGAAACUCAGAGAAUAGCUUAUGUGUUUAAUAUAUGUAUAGGUACAUACACAUAUAUGUAUUAUAUAUAAUGUACAUAAGGGUUUUCGGUGUAUUGAAGUGUUUGGGAGUGAAUUAGUUAAGGAUACAAAGUAAGCAAAUGAAAAAUGAGGCAAAAUAAAACAAAAAAACCAGCAAAAAGGUAACCAAAGCACAGUGUGAUUAACUGCAUAAUCAUAAACCCUACAUGAUCAGGUAAAGUAAUACAGGUACAUACUGAUUUAAAUGAGGUAAAACCUGGAGUUCAAUCAAGUGAAUACUAAUUUAAUCAUUUAAUCCCAAAUGGUGAUUCUGUACAACUAUAUUGAGAGAAUGAAAAGGAAAAUGUGGAUAUGUUGGACUGCAUAUAUGCUGAGCGUGAAGAGUGGAAAGGUAAAAGGUGUGGAAGAGCUAAAUCCACAUCUUUUUACCAACAAAUUGAUAAUAUC
Leopardus geoffroyi (Geoffroy's cat) is the source of this 865-nucleotide long non-coding RNA. RefSeq lists it as uncharacterized. The transcript is spliced from 2 exons. The record is from RefSeq and is a predicted model, not a curated record. NCBI's taxonomy places the organism in Eukaryota, Metazoa, Chordata, Mammalia, Carnivora, Felidae.